RNA transcript from Cannabis sativa, 2984 nucleotides. RefSeq lists it as uncharacterized. The transcript has 3 exons. NCBI's taxonomy places the organism in Eukaryota, Viridiplantae, Streptophyta, Magnoliopsida, Rosales, Cannabaceae. The record is from RefSeq and is a predicted model, not a curated record.
ACAUAAGAACAACUGAACAAGAACAAAGGUCAAUGUUAGCAGUUGAAACCUGAAAAGGAAAGCUUAUCUUUUUAUGUUGCGUUACUUACAACAAGGCAUUGUAACAUAACCCCAUUUUCUCUGCAAUGAAAACAGGAAAAUUCUAUUACAAUUGAGACUAUAUGACAUAAUAUAUACAUAUAUAUCAUAUGGGUUUCAGCUCAGUUCACUGUACCAAUACCUGAACAGUAGAUAAAUAAUACAAGUAGAUAAAGAACAGUACUUUACUGUUUGUUUUGUUGUUGUUGUUGAUCAACCAAAUUAAAGUUGCUUCUAAUUCGUUUCUCAGACCACAACACAAGACAAAAACCAAAACAAAACGACAGUAAGACUACUUACCUAAAGCAAAUCAAGAAUAAAAUCCAAUCCAACCUGAUCUUGUGUUUAUCUUUAUUUUUUGUUUUUUCUUGCUUGCUAAGUUAUGGAUUUGAUACAGUCUCCAACUCCAAUGCUCGUAAAGUGUCGGUUGUCUUAAUGGGCUGAAUGAGUGAAGAGCAAAUGGAUUUCGAAGACGAGGAGUAUGGAGGACUUCAAAAGCUCCAGUAUCAGGGUAAUAGUGGAGCUAUAUCUGCUCUUGCAGAUGAAGAACCAAUGGGAGAAGAUGAUGAAUAUGAUGAUCUCUAUAAUGAUGUUAACAUUGGAGAUGGUUUCAUGCAGUUGCACCAGUCUGAGGCACCACUUCCUCCUGGCGGUGUCAACAAUGGAGGGCUCCAAGCUCAGAAGACUAAUUUUCUAUUACCAAGAGACGAAACUGGGGUAUCUCGUGAACCGAAUAUUCCUGGUGUUUCAACAGAUGGAAAAUAUCCUAGUACAAGUUCUCAAAUUCCUGGCCAAAAGGAGGGACUUGCAGUUGAUAAUAAAUCAAAAGUUGGUUUCAUGUUGUACCCGAAUGGAGCUGCUUCAGUCUCAGAAAAGGGAAGAAUUAUGGGGUCUAAUGGAUCUUUGAUACAACAUGGUGCAGGAGUUGAUUCAUCUGUUAUUCCUGUAAAAGUUGCAAAUGAGCAUGUAUUGUCACUGAAUUCUGGAAAUACCGCUAAUCAAACCAAUGUGGAUUUAAGCGUUAAACACCCUGCGGUUAAUGAAAAUCUGAUAAGGCCACCAAUGGAGAAUGGUUCAACUAUGCUGUUUGUUGGGGAACUAAAUUGGUGGACAACUGAUGCUGAACUUGAAAAUGUUUUAUCUCAAUAUGGAAGAGUAAAGGAAAUUAAGUUUUUUGAUGAAAGAGCCAGUGGCAAAUCAAAAGGAUAUUGUCAAGUUGAGUUUCAUGAUUCAUCAGCAGCUACUGCAUGCAAGGAAGGAAUGCAUGGUCAAGUUUUCAAUGGAAGAGCUUGUGUUGUGGCAUUUGCUACUUCACAAACACUUCAACAGAUGGGAGCUGCUUAUACAAGCAAGAAUCAAGUCCAGAAUCAGUCUCAACUUCCCCAGGGGCAGGGAAGAAGGCCUGUCAGUGAUGGUGUUGGAAGAGGUGGCAAUCAGAACCAUCAAAGUGGAGAUGGAGGGAGGAAUUUCGGAAGGGGUGGAUGGGGACGAGGUGGGCAAGGAAUACUCAACAGAGGAGGUGGUGGGGUAAUGAGGGGAAGGGGAGGAGGGGCUAUGGGUGCUAAGAACAUGGUUGGACUUGGGAGCAAUGCUGGUGGAGUAGGUGGAUAUGGGCAGGGUCUUGGAGGACAUGCUUUCGGGGGUCCUGCUGGUGGAAUGAUGAAUCCACAGGCCAUGAUGGGUUUUGGAUUUGAUCAGUCAUGUAUGAGUAGAGGAGGUGGUUAUGGGGGAUUUCCAGGACAUGCUUACCCUGGAAUGCUUUCUUCAUUUCCAGGAGUUAACACAAUGGGACUAGGUGCAGUGGCUCCACAUGUAAACCCAGCCUUCUUUGGCAGGGGUAUGACAAAUAAUGGAAUGGGUAUGAUGGGUUCUCCUUUCAUGGAUGGGCAUCAUGCAGGGAUGUGGAAUGAGACUAGCAUGGGUGGAUGGGGAGGAGACGAACAAGUUCGAAGGAGCAAGGAAGCAAGCUAUGGUGGUGGUGGUGGUGGUGAUGAUGGUGCUUCUGAGUAUGGGUAUGGAGAAGCAAACCAUGAAAAAGGAGUAAGAUCAAGUGUUGCUUCUAGGGAAAGGGAGCGGGGAUCUGAUCGUGAGCGGAGGCAUCAUGAAGAAAGAGACCAGGACUGGGACAGACCUGAAAAGGAGCAGCGGGAGCAUGGAUACAGAGAAGAGAAAGAUGGGUACAACCGAGAUCAUCGUCGAAGAGAACAUGACUUGGAUAAUGACGAUGACUGGGACAAAGGGCGGUCUUCAUCUAGACCUCGUAGUAGGUCAAGAGUAAUGCCAGAAGAUCAUCAACGGUCUCGCUCAAGAGAUGUUGAUUAUGGAAAGAGGAGACGUUUGCCAUCAGAGUAAUUUGAUUUUACCAUGCCCACAAAAUCUAUGCCCUGGAAUUUGAACUGUCAAUCCUUGGAUAUCUAUGCGCGUCUACAUCACUUCGGUUGGAUCUUGAUGGCUCCAUUUCCAAUGUGGCUUAGAAGGAAUAGGGUGGGAGAUUCUUUCUUUUAAUGAAUGAAUCAGCCUUUGCUGAUUAUAUGGUGGAAGAAUUAUUACAUGGGAUGCCUUUAUUUGGAUUUCUCUGGUGAUGGAUUGGAUCUGCCAAGUGUGUGUUAAGAAGCCUUUGACUGUUUUCAAUUUCACCUUGUUUUUCUAAAAGACCACCUUAAAAAUAUGUACUAGUAGUGCUCCUGCAACACAACAUCUAGAAAGACUAUUUAUGAGCUUGUUCAUAUGUGAAUGAAAAUUUUCUCAUGUAUAGUCUAGUGUAAAAUGAUUUGUAUUAGUUUUCAUAUGUAACAACACUCUUUCUUGCUUUUCUUUUCCCCUUGUAUUGGGCUCAACAAAGAGCUUGUAAAAGUCUUGUUCUGGAUUUGUACUUCCACAAAUAAGAGCCAUUUCUUGCAUUAAAA